RNAcentral lists this ribosomal RNA (1329 nucleotides) under Yllenus arenarius. RNAcentral's name for it is "SSU rRNA". It matches the Rfam family "Eukaryotic small subunit ribosomal RNA", at positions 63 to 1414 of the family's 1831-position model. The record is from RNAcentral. Lineage: Eukaryota; Metazoa; Arthropoda; Arachnida; Araneae; Salticidae.
GUACAUGCCGUAUUAAGGCGAAACCGCGAAUGGCUCAUUAAAUCAGUUAUGGUUCCUUGGAUCGUACCUUACUACUUGGAUAACUGUGGUAAUUCUAGAGCUAAUACAUGCAGCAGAGCUCCGACCUUCGGGGACGAGCGCUUUUAUUAGACCAAAACCAAUCAGGCUUUGCCUGUUCUUUGUGGUGACUCUGAAUAACUUUGGGCUGAUCGCACGGGCCCGUCCCGGCGACGUAUCUUUCAAGUGUCUGCCUUAUCAACUUUCGAUGGUAGGUUACGCGCCUACCAUGGUCGUAACGGGUAACGGGGAAUCAGGGUUCGAUUCCGGAGAGGGAGCCUGAGAAACGGCUACCACAUCCAAGGAAGGCAGCAGGCGCGCAAAUUACCCACUCCCAGAACGGGGAGGUAGUGACGAAAAAUAACAAUACGGGACUCUUUUGAGACCCCGUAAUUGGAAUGAGUACACUCUAAAUCCUUUAACGAGGAUCCAUUGGAGGGCAAGUCCGGUGCCAGCCGCCGCGGUAACUCCGGCUCCAAUAGCGUAUAUUAAAGUUGUUGCGGUUAAAAAGCUCGUAGUUGGAUCUCAGUUCCAGACGGGUGGUCCGCCUACCGGUGGUUACUGCCUGUUCUGAACAGCCAGCCGGUUUCUCUUGAUGAUCUUCACCGGUUGUCUUGGGUGACCGGCAAGUUUACUUUGAAAAAAUUAGAGUGCUCAAAGCAGGCGCGACGCCUGAAUAAUGGUGCAUGGAAUAAUGGAAUAGGACCUCGGUUCUAUUUUGUUGGUUUUCGGAACACGAGGUAAUGAUUAAGAGGGACAGACGGGGGCAUUCGUAUUGCGACGCUAGAGGUGAAAUUCUUGGACCGUCGCAGGACGAACUACUGCGAAAGCAUUUGCCAAGAAUGUUUCCAUUAAUCAAGAACGAAAGUUAGAGGUUCGAAGGCGAUCAGAUACCGCCCUAGUUCUAACCAUAAACGAUGCCAGCCAGCGAUCCGGCUGUGUUCCUCAAAUGACACGCCGGGCAGCUUCCGGGAAACCAAAGCUUUUGGGUUCCGGGGGAAGUAUGGUUGCAAAGCUGAAACUUAAAGGAAUUGACGGAAGGGCACCACCAGGAAUGGAGCCUGCGGCUUAAUUUGACUCAACACGGGAAAACUCACCCGGCCCGGACACAGGAAGGAUUGACAGAUUAAGAGCUCUUUCUUGAUUCUGUGGGUGGUGGUGCAUGGCCGUUCUUAGUUGGUGGAGCGAUUUGUCUGGUUAAUUCCGAUAACGAACGAGACUCUAGCCUACUAAAUAGACGUUCCUGUCAACUCCGCAGGACGUUCUUCUUAG